GAUGAACGCUGGCGGCGUGCCUAACACAUGCCAGUCGAACGGAGUCGUUUUGGCAAUCUCUUCGGAGAUGGAAUUCUCGACUUAGUGGCGGACGGGUGAGUAACUCGUGAGCAAUCUGCCUUUAAGAGGGGGAUAACAGUCGGAAACGGCUGCUAAUACCGCAUAAAGCAUUACAUUCGCAUGUUUUUGAUGCCAAAGGAGCAAUCCGCUUUUAGAUGAGCUCGCGUCUGAUGAGCUAGUUGGCGGGUUAACGACCCACCAACGCGACGAUCAGUAGCCGGACGGAGGGGUUGAACAGCCACAAUGGGACUGAGACACCGCGCAGACGCCUACGGGAGGCAGCAGCGGGGAAGAUUGCGCAACGGGGGACGAAAGGACGCAGCAGCGCCGCGGGAUGGAAGAUGGACGUCGGGGUGUAAAGAUCUUUAAUCAGGGACGAAACAAAUGACGGUACCUGAAGAAUAAGCGCCGGCUAACUACGUG
RNAcentral lists this ribosomal RNA (483 nucleotides) under uncultured bacterium. RNAcentral describes it as "partial 16S ribosomal RNA". It matches the Rfam family "Bacterial small subunit ribosomal RNA", at positions 28 to 507 of the family's 1533-position model. The record is from RNAcentral.